RNAcentral lists this ribosomal RNA (253 nucleotides) under uncultured bacterium. Its description in RNAcentral is "partial 16S ribosomal RNA". It matches the Rfam family "Bacterial small subunit ribosomal RNA", at positions 524 to 776 of the family's 1533-position model. The record is from RNAcentral.
GACAGAGGGUGCAAACGUUGUUCGGAAUUACUGGGCGUAAAGCGCGUGUAGGCGGCUUGGAAAGUCGGGUGUGAAAGCCCUGGGCUCAACCCAGGAAGUGCACUCGAAACUUCCUCGCUUGAGUGUCGGAGAGGAAAGCGGAAUUCUCGGUGUAGAGGUGAAAUUCGUAGAUAUCGAGAGGAACACCGGUGGCGAAGGCGGCUUUCUGGACGACAACUGACGCUGAGACGCGAAAGCGUGGGUAGCAAACAGG